CCUACGGGGAGCUGCAGUGGGGAAUAUUGGACAAUGGGCGAAAGCCUGAUCCAGCCAUGCCGCGUGUGUGAAGAAGGCCUUCGGGUUGUAAAGCACUUUCAGUGGGGAAGAAAGCCUUGGGGCUAAUACCCUCGAGGAAGGACAUCACCCACAGAAGAAGCACCGGCUAACUCCGUGCCAGCAGCCGCGGUAAUACGGAGGGUGCGAGCGUUAAUCGGAAUUACUGGGCGUAAAGCGCGCGUAGGCGGUCUGAUAAGCCGGUUGUGAAAGCCCCGGGCUCAACCUGGGAACGGCAUCCGGAACGGUCAGGCUAGAGUGCAGGAGAGGAAGGUAGAAUUCCCGGUGUAGCGGUGAAAUGCGUAGAGAUCGGGAGGAAUACCAGUGGCGAAGGCGGCCUUCUGGACUGACACUGACGCUGAGGUGCGAAAGCGUGGGUAGCAAACAGGAUUAGAUACCCGGGUAGUC
Molecule: ribosomal RNA, 465 nt
Filed under: Vreelandella stevensii
Lineage: Bacteria; Pseudomonadati; Pseudomonadota; Gammaproteobacteria; Oceanospirillales; Halomonadaceae
Description: partial 16S ribosomal RNA
Rfam family: Bacterial small subunit ribosomal RNA
Source: RNAcentral